RNAcentral lists this ribosomal RNA (484 nucleotides) under uncultured bacterium. RNAcentral describes it as "partial 16S ribosomal RNA". It matches the Rfam family "Bacterial small subunit ribosomal RNA", at positions 29 to 523 of the family's 1533-position model. The record is from RNAcentral.
AGUGAACGCUGGCGGCGUGCUUAACACGUGCAAGUCGAACGAGAACGGGUUAUAGCUUGCUAUAAUUGUCAGCUAAGUGGCGCACGGGUGAGUAAUGUAUAGGUAAUAUGCCUCUUACUAAGGGAUAACAAAUGAAAACGUUUGCUAAUACCUUAUACUCCUUAUUAACAGAAGUUAAUAAGGGAAAGAUUUAUUGGUAAGAGAUUAGCCUGUAUUGUAUCAGUUAGUUGGUGAGGUAAUGGCUUACCAAGACUAUGACACAUAACUGGUUUGAGAGGAUGAUCAGUCACACUGGAACUGAGACACGGUCCAGACUCCUACGGGAGGCAGCAGUGGGGAACAUUGCACAAUGGACGAAAGUCUGAUGCAGCAACGCCGCGUGGAGGAUGACACAUUUCGGUGCGUAAACUCCUUUUAUAUGAGAAGAUAAUGACGGUAUUAUAUGAAUAAGCACCGGCUAACUCCGUGCCAGCAGCCGCCGUAA